RNAcentral lists this ribosomal RNA (255 nucleotides) under Listeria monocytogenes. Its description in RNAcentral is "partial 16S ribosomal RNA". It matches the Rfam family "Bacterial small subunit ribosomal RNA", at positions 807 to 1060 of the family's 1533-position model. Lineage: Bacteria; Bacillati; Bacillota; Bacilli; Caryophanales; Listeriaceae. The record is from RNAcentral.
CGAUGAGUGCUAAGUGUUAGGGGGUUUCCGCCCCUUAGUGCUGCAGCUAACGCAUUAAGCACUCCGCCUGGGGAGUACGACCGCAAGGUUGAAACUCAAAGGAAUUGACGGGGGCCCGCACAAGCGGGGGAGCAUGUGGUUUAAUUCGAAGCAACGCGAAGAACCUUACCAGGUCUUGACAUCCUUUGACCACUCUGGAGACAGAGCUUUCCCUUCGGGGACAAAGUGACAGGUGGUGCAUGGUCGUCGUCAGCU